AGAAACAGCGGCUUUGGAAUUGGAUCCAAUUUGUGUCUGAUUAUAUUUGAUUCUACUGCUCAUUCAUAGAGAGACAAAGCGUAGAGAGCGAAACUGAGAAAUGUCUGGAGGUAUAGCGCGUGGCCGUCUUGCCGAGGAGCGAAAAGCCUGGCGGAAGAAUCACCCUCAUGGUUUCGUUGCCAAACCAGAGACUCUACCCGAUGGUUCGGUGAAUCUGAUGGUAUGGCUGUGCACAAUCCCUGGUAAGGCCGGGACUGAUUGGGAGGGUGGUUACUACCCACUUGCACUCCAUUUUAGUGAAGAUUAUCCUAGCAAACCACCAAAGUGUAAAUUCCCCCCUGGUUUCUUCCACCCUAAUGUCUACCCAUCUGGAACUGUUUGUCUGUCAAUUCUCAAUGAGGACAGUGGAUGGAGACCAGCCAUCACGGUGAAGCAAAUUCUUGUUGGCAUACAGGAUUUGCUGGACCAGCCCAACCCCUCGGAUCCUGCACAGACUGAAGGAUAUCAUCUCUUCAUUCAGUGUGGUGAAAUAUGAUUAUUAGUGGCCUGAUGAACUGUAAGAACAGUUUGCCUGCGAUCAGAUAUUUCUCCGGUGGCCACAUUCAGCCAUGCAAAGCCUGCUGCUUGAUUUUUAAAGGAUGCUGUGGAGUACAAGAAUAGGGUCCGGCUGCAGGCCAAACAAUACCCACCUCUCAUCUGAAUAUUGAUACUGGUUCGAUUGAAAUUGUUGGUGUUUUGGAAAUGAUCAAGCUGCCCUUGUGUAAACUGCAUUAGACCGUAUAAAAUACUUCUCUGGUUUUGAAUAGUCUUCUGUUUAUAUAUGAUGCUCAUUGGAGAUAAACUUGAUCUCAAUUCAUAACAGGAUGUUCGUUUCAUGAUUACUUAUAAAAUAUAAAAAUGGCGUCUGUAUAAUAUGCCAAUGUACCUCCCCUUCAAAGAGUAGCAGCAUAAAUUUGUGAUAUUAAAGCAGGAAUGAGAAUCACCUAGUGGAGCAUUUGAAGUUA
RNA transcript from Cornus florida, 1004 nucleotides. It is a transcript of the gene named SUMO-conjugating enzyme SCE1-like, with no coding region annotated. The record is from RefSeq and is a predicted model, not a curated record. NCBI's taxonomy places the organism in Eukaryota, Viridiplantae, Streptophyta, Magnoliopsida, Cornales, Cornaceae. The transcript has 6 exons.